RNAcentral lists this ribosomal RNA (556 nucleotides) under Aspergillus amstelodami. RNAcentral's name for it is "eukaryotic LSU rRNA". The stretch from base 175 to 328 matches the Rfam family "5.8S ribosomal RNA". Lineage: Eukaryota; Fungi; Ascomycota; Eurotiomycetes; Eurotiales; Aspergillaceae. The record is from RNAcentral. RNAcentral also lists the same sequence under 1 other name.
UUCCGUAGGUGAACCUGCGGAAGGAUCAUUACCGAGUGCGGGCCCUCUGGGUCCAACCUCCCAUCCGUGUCUAUCUGUACCCUGUUGCUUCGGCGUGGCCACGGCCCGCCGGAGACUAACAUUUGAACGCUGUCUGAAGUUUGCAGUCUGAGUUUUUAGUUAAACAAUCGUUAAAACUUUCAACAACGGAUCUCUUGGUUCCGGCAUCGAUGAAGAACGCAGCGAAAUGCGAUAAUUAAUGUGAAUUGCAGAAUUCAGUGAAUCAUCGAGUCUUUGAACGCACAUUGCGCCCCCUGGUAUUCCGGGGGGCAUGCCUGUCCGAGCGUCAUUGCUGCCCUCAAGCACGGCUUGUGUGUUGGGCUUCCGUCCCUGGCAACGGGGACGGGCCCAAAAGGCAGUGGCGGCACCAUGUCUGGUCCUCGAGCGUAUGGGGCUUUGUCACCCGCUCCCGUAGGUCCAGCUGGCAGCUAGCCUCGCAACCAAUCUUUUUAACCAGGUUGACCUCGGAUCAGGUAGGGAUACCCGCUGAACUUAAGCAUAUCAAUAAGCGGAGGAA